UAAGCAUAUCAAUAAGCGGAGGAAAAGAAACCAACAGGGAUUGCCCUAGUAACGGCGAGUGAAGCGGCAACAGCUCAAAUUUGAAAUCUGGCUUUCGGGCCCGAGUUGUAAUUUGUAGAGGAUGAUUUUGAUGCGGUGCCUUCCGAGUUCCCUGGAACGGGACGCCAUAGAGGGUGAGAGCCCCGUCUGGUUGGAUGCCAAAUCUCUGUAAAUCUCCUUCGACGAGUCGAGUAGUUUGGGAAUGCUGCUCUAAAUGGGAGGUAUAUGUCUUCUAAAGCUAAAUACCGGCCAGAGACCGAUAGCGCACAAGUAGAGUGAUCGAAAGAUGAAAAGCACUUUGAAAAGAGAGUUAAAAAGUACGUGAAAUUGUUGAAAGGGAAGCGUUUAUGACCAGACUUGGGCUUGGUUAAUCAUCUGGGGUUCUCUCCAGUGCACUUUUCCAGCCCAGGCCAGCAUCAGUUUUCGCCGGGGGAUAAAGACUUCGGGAAUGUGGCUCCCCUCGGGGAGUGUUAUAGCCCGUUGUGUAAUACCCUGGUGGGGACUGAGGUUCGCGCUUCUGCAAGGAUGCUGGCGUAAUGGUCAUCAACGACCCGUCUUGAAACACGGACCAAGGAGUCGUCUUCGUAUGCGAGUGUUCGGGUGUCAAACCCCUACGCGUAAUGAAAGUGAACGCAGGUGAGAGCUUCGGCGCAUCAUCGACCGAUCCUGAUGUUCUCGGAUGGAUUUGAGUAAGAGCAUACGGGGCCGGACCCGAAAGAAGGUGAACUAUGCCUGUGUAGGGUGAAGCCAGAGGAAACUCUGGUGGAGGCUCGCAGCGGUUCUGACGUGCAAAUCGAUCGUCAAACAUGGGCAUGGGGGC
This 859-nucleotide ribosomal RNA is filed under the name Fusarium oxysporum f. sp. lycopersici. RNAcentral describes it as "LSU rRNA". It matches the Rfam family "Eukaryotic large subunit ribosomal RNA", at positions 35 to 924 of the family's 3401-position model. The record is from RNAcentral. Lineage: Eukaryota; Fungi; Ascomycota; Sordariomycetes; Hypocreales; Nectriaceae.